RNAcentral lists this ribosomal RNA (430 nucleotides) under Pseudomonadota bacterium. RNAcentral's name for it is "Proteobacteria bacterium partial 16S ribosomal RNA". It matches the Rfam family "Bacterial small subunit ribosomal RNA", at positions 355 to 776 of the family's 1533-position model. Lineage: Bacteria; Pseudomonadati; Pseudomonadota. The record is from RNAcentral.
UGGGGAAUAUUGGACAAUGGGGGGAACCCUGAUCCAGCCAUGCCGCGUGUGUGAAGAAGGCCUUAUGGUUGUAAAGCACUUUAAGCGAGGAGGAGGGUACUGGUAUUAAUACUACCAGGUACUGGACGUUACUCGCAGAAUAAGCACCGGCUAACUCUGUGCCAGCAGCCGCGGUAAUACAGAGGUUGCGAGCGUUAAUCGGAUUUACUGGGCGUAAAGCGUGCGUAGGCGGCUAAUUGAGUCGGAUGUGAAAUCCCCGAGCUUAACUUGGGAAUUGCAUUCGAUACUGGUUAGCUAGAGUGUGGGAGAGGAUGUUAGAAUUCCAGGUGUAGCGGUGAAAUGCGUAGAGAUCUGGAGGAAUACCGAUGGCGAAGGCAGCCAUCUGGCCUAACACUGACGCUGAGGUACGAAAGCAUGGGGAGCAAACAGG